RNAcentral lists this ribosomal RNA (244 nucleotides) under uncultured Actinomycetales bacterium. Its description in RNAcentral is "partial 16S ribosomal RNA". It matches the Rfam family "Bacterial small subunit ribosomal RNA", at positions 88 to 334 of the family's 1533-position model. Lineage: Bacteria; Bacillati; Actinomycetota; Actinomycetes; Actinomycetales. The record is from RNAcentral.
GGCUCGAGUGGCGAACGGGUGAGUAACACGUGAGUAACCUGCCCUUGACUUUGGGAUAACUUCAGGAAACUGGGGCUAAUACCGGAUAGGAGCUCCUGCUGCAUGGUGGGGGUUGGAAAGUUUCGGCGGUUGGGGAUGGACUCGCGGCUUAUCAGCUUGUUGGUGGGGUAGUGGCUUACCAAGGCUUUGACGGGUAGCCGGCCUGAGAGGGUGACCGGCCACAUUGGACUGAGAUACGGCCCAG